UACGGAGGGUGCAAGCGUUAUCCGGAUUCACUGGGUUUAAAGGGAGCGUAGGCGGGCGUGUAAGUCAGUGGUGAAAGCCCUCAGCUUAACUGAGGAACUGCCAUUGAUACUAUACGUCUUGAAUGUCGUUGAGGUUUGCGGAAUGGGUCAUGUAGCGGUGAAAUGCUUAGAUAUGACCCGGAACACCUAUUGCGAAGGCAGCAGGCUAAACGAAUAUUGACGCUGAGGCUCGAAAGCGUGGGGAGCAAACAGG
RNAcentral lists this ribosomal RNA (253 nucleotides) under uncultured Sediminibacterium sp. Its description in RNAcentral is "partial 16S ribosomal RNA". It matches the Rfam family "Bacterial small subunit ribosomal RNA", at positions 524 to 776 of the family's 1533-position model. The record is from RNAcentral. Lineage: Bacteria; Pseudomonadati; Bacteroidota; Chitinophagia; Chitinophagales; Chitinophagaceae.